AAUCAACGCUGGCGGCGCGCUUAACACAUGCAAGUCGAGCGAGAAAGUGGAGCAAUCCAUGAGUAAAGCGGCGUACGGGUGAGUAACACGUGGGUGAUCUACCUCUAAGUGGGGAAUAACCCUGGGAAACCGGGGCUAAUACCGCAUAAGCCUGCAAAGGGAAAGCAGCAAUGCGCUGAGAGAGGAGCCCGCGGCCGAUUAGCUAGUUGGUGAGGUAAUGGCUCACCAAGGCGGUGAUCGGUAGCCGGCCUGAGAGGGCACACGGCCACACUGGCACUGAAACACGGGUCAGACUCCUACGGGAGGCAGCAGUGGGGAAUCUUGCACAAUGGAGGCAACUCUGAUGCAGCGACGCCGCGUGAGCGAUGAAGCCCCUCGGGGGU
This 383-nucleotide ribosomal RNA is filed under the name uncultured bacterium. RNAcentral's name for it is "bacterial SSU rRNA". It matches the Rfam family "Bacterial small subunit ribosomal RNA", at positions 29 to 425 of the family's 1533-position model. The record is from RNAcentral.